UCCAAUCAAUUAUGAAAGCAAAUCAUCCUACCCAAAGGGGAGGAAAGUCUCUUUGAAAGCAUUUCUCCUAGCCUGCUCAGAGAAGAUGCUCAUUUUCAGAAUUUUUAAGAAACAGGAAAAAAUAUAGACAAGAUUAUACAGAGAGGGGAAGAAUGAGAAGAGAAGAGAAGGAUAAUAAGAAUUCUGAGGAACAUCAACAUUUAAAACGGAAAUGAAGAAAAGCCUGCGAAGAAGACUGCAAAGGUAGGCCAAGACCUAAAGGUGGUUCUGGAAUUAUUUGAUAUUGGGUGGCAGAUGAGGAAACUGGAGCAAGGAGAGGAUUUUGCUCCAAAGUCUAAUGGCUAACUGAGCUGAGGUUUGAAUCCAGGCAAUAGUCACCAGAGCUGCACUCACAAACUCAAAACUGUAGUGUGAGGAAGGUGGAUCACAUGCUUUGGAAGUAUUUCAGGCUGGGAAGUCUUCCAGUUUCUGGAAGAAAGAUAUGAUAAAGCCCAUAACAGAGGAUAUGGGAGCCAGCCAAGGAAGUGAACCCAUACACAUGUUCCCAGCUUCUACAGAGGGCCAAAUUCUGAUAGGAAAUUCUUUACGUGUGUGUGUGUGUGUGUGUGUGUGUGUGUGUGUAAUUUUAAGUUCUGGGAUACAUGUGCAGUAUGUGCAGUUUUGUUACAUAGGUAUACAUGUGCCAUGGUGGUUUGCUGCACCACUGAUAGGAAAUUAGGUAGCCACACACACAAGUAUAGACAUGGCUACUGAGUAAGACUUAUGAAAAUCUAGCUCUUAGCACAACUGUAAGCACAGAAUGAAUUUAGCAAACUUUUCCACAUCUCUGCAGACAAAGCCCUGGUUUUUAGUACAGACAUCCUGAAAGGUUACUUAUCCUGAUGUCAGGUGUAGCCUUGAGAAGUCCAGUGAUUCAAUGUUCAGGAAGAAAAUGUGUGAAAUGUAUCUCAACAAAUUGAGCCUGCUGUUUAGGAGGCUUUGCAUCCAUUUUUAAGGAAAAUUAUUCAUAACUACUCAAACCCAAGCAUGCAAGUCUGUAGCUAAAGAAUUCCAAGGGCAAAGGGUUUUCCAGGUGAAGCCAAAUGUAACCUUUAGAUAAUUGAGAGUAGCAAUAUCACAGAAAAAGAACUUCAAGCUUUGUUGCUAUUGUUUAGUGUCAGCAUGAGAGUUUUCAUCCUGAAUUGCUCUUAAAUCCUGAUUCAUUUGAAAAUUAAUCCAAAUGUCUUCCCACCAACUCUUCUCCCUUCUGGUAAAUUUUAUUAAGCAAUAAAUUCACAUCAAACAUUAUUUAUUGGGAAACAUCAGAUGAAACCAUUCAAAUUUUACUAUACAGUAGAUAUACCAAAGAAGUCAGCAUUCCCCCUUCAUAUUUUUUCAUGAGGAGGGCCACUGAGAUCUUUUCUCCUCAAGACAUGACUCCUCAGGAAGGGGUCUUGGCACCAAUAUGCAGGAGGAUGCUUGCAGAGCUGGGACUUUGGCAUUUUAAAAGCCACGUGGCUCUAGGCAUGCUCCAAGUGUUCCUAGCUCAAGUCUUAUAGUUAAGUCCAGAUUUCACAGCCGAAGGCACUGAGCUGCAAGCUUCCUCGCCAAAGGCCCAAAGCAGUAAGCAGAAGGUGCUUCCUGGCCCUGACUCAACUGGUGCAGAAGGACACCCUAUUGAUGGUGAUGCAGGAGCAGCUCUGAGCCUUCUCUGAGUGAUCCGGAAAGCAUUAUCCUACCCAAAGGGGAGGAAAGUCUCUUUGAAAGCAUUUCUGCUCAGAGAUGAAGACAAAAACCAUAAUGGGAAGGACCAAUAUCCCAAACAUCACUGACAUUACCUGGGUGUUCUGCUUGCAAAAACAUUUUGCUAAUAAAAAGAAAACGUGAUCCCAUCACUAACUGUCCCUAAAGCAAGUCAUCUGCCUUUUCAUGGUCUCAAGGGGCUCAUCUGUAAAAUGAAGAGUUGAACUAAAUGAUGGUUGAGGUUCCAUACUGUCUAGUAAUAAAAACUGUCAAAAGUGGUCACAUACUGUCAAUUUCAUAUGGCUUGAUGCACACACAUGCACACUCACUGUGUGUACACCCUCACAAACAUUUAUUCAUUCGAUAAGUAUUGCCUACUAUAAGCCAAGCAUUCUUCUAGGCACUGAAGAUAUAGCAGCAAACAAAGCAGAGCCCUGCUCACUUGGAGCUUACGUUCUAGGAUUGGUAAAAGCAAAAAUAUAGCAAAUUAACUAGUAUAUCCAAGGGGGUGGAAUGAGAAAGGGAGAGAGUAAGAGAGAGAGACACCAAGUGGGGAGAGUAGAAGGAGAUAGAAAGAUCACCAGGGCCUGGCAAAGCCUUGCUUUUCCUCUGAGUGAGAUGGGAAGGCAUUGGAGGGUUCUGAGCAACGUAAUAGGACACACAUGCUUACAAGAUGAUUCUCACUGCUCUGUGGCAGACAGACUUGUAGGGACAAGAGUAGAAACAGGGAGACCAGUCGGGAGACCGUUGCAAUCAUCCAGAUGAGGGAUGACGGUGGCUUGGACCUGGUGGCAACGGUGGAGCUGAAAGUCUUGGCUGUUCUGUAUUCUGAAGGCAAAGUCAAUAGGAUUUGCUACUGGACAGCAUGUGGAGUGUGAGUGAAAGAUGACGCCAAGAUUUUUCACUGGAAUAAGUGGAAUAAUGAA
This 2648-nucleotide long non-coding RNA is filed under the name Homo sapiens (human). Its description in RNAcentral is "HSALNT0326081". The record is from RNAcentral. Lineage: Eukaryota; Metazoa; Chordata; Mammalia; Primates; Hominidae.